GAUGAACGCUGGCGGCGUGCCUAAUACAUGCAAGUCGAGCGAACGGACGAGAAGCUUGCUUCUCUGAUGUUAGCGGCGGACGGGUGAGUAACACGUGGAUAACCUACCUAUAAGACUGGGAUAACUUCGGGAAACCGGAGCUAAUACCGGAUAAUAUUUUGAACCGCAUGGUUCAAAAGUGAAAGACGGUCUUGCUGUCACUUAUAGAUGGAUCCGCGCUGCAUUAGCUAGUUGGUAAGGUAACGGCUUACCAAGGCAACGAUGCAUAGCCGACCUGAGAGGGUGAUCGGCCACACUGGAACUGAGACACGGUCCAGACUCCUACGGGAGGCAGCAGUAGGGAAUCUUCCGCAAUGGGCGAAAGCCUGACGGAGCAACGCCGCGUGAGUGAUGAAGGUCUUCGGAUCGUAAAACUCUGUUAUUAGGGAAGAACAUAUGUGUAAGUAACUGUGCACAUCUUGACGGUACCUAAUCAGAAAGCCACGGCUAACUACGUGCCAGCAGCCGCGGUAAUACGUAGGUGGCAAGCGUUAUCCGGAAUUAUUGGGCGUAAAGCGCGCGUAGGCGGUUUUUUAAGUCUGAUGUGAAAGCCCACGGCUCAACCGUGGAGGGUCAUUGGAAACUGGAAAACUUGAGUGCAGAAGAGGAAAGUGGAAUUCCAUGUGUAGCGGUGAAAUGCGCAGAGAUAUGGAGGAACACCAGUGGCGAAGGCGACUUUCUGGUCUGUAACUGACGCUGAUGUGCGAAAGCGUGGGGAUCAAACAGGAUUAGAUACCCUGGUAGUCCACGCCGUAAACGAUGAGUGCUAAGUGUUAGGGGGUUUCCGCCCCUUAGUGCUGCAGCUAACGCAUUAAGCACUCCGCCUGGGGAGUACGACCGCAAGGUUGAAACUCAAAGGAAUUGACGGGGACCCGCACAAGCGGUGGAGCAUGUGGUUUAAUUCGAAGCAACGCGAAGAACCUUACCAAAUCUUGACAUCCUUUGACAACUCUAGAGAUAGAGCCUUCCCCUUCGGGGGACAAAGUGACAGGUGGUGCAUGGUUGUCGUCAGCUCGUGUCGUGAGAUGUUGGGUUAAGUCCCGCAACGAGCGCAACCCUUAAGCUUAGUUGCCAUCAUUAAGUUGGGCACUCUAAGUUGACUGCCGGUGACAAACCGGAGGAAGGUGGGGAUGACGUCAAAUCAUCAUGCCCCUUAUGAUUUGGGCUACACACGUGCUACAAUGGACAAUACAAAGGGCAGCGAAACCGCGAGGUCAAGCAAAUCCCAUAAAGUUGUUCUCAGUUCGGAUUGUAGUCUGCAACUCGACUACAUGAAGCUGGAAUCGCUAGUAAUCGUACAUCAGCAUGCUACGGUGAAUACGUUCCCGGGUCU
RNAcentral lists this ribosomal RNA (1372 nucleotides) under uncultured bacterium. RNAcentral's name for it is "bacterial SSU rRNA". It matches the Rfam family "Bacterial small subunit ribosomal RNA", at positions 28 to 1381 of the family's 1533-position model. The record is from RNAcentral.